GCUCCGGGUUCAGAGUCCGGGGCUUUCUGGAGCCCAAGCGCAGACUCCGGCCCUCACAGUGGAAGGCAGAAGGGCAGGCUGUUACCCUGCUGGAGGCAUGUUGCUCAGUGCUGAAGAGGAAGUUGCUUGUCACCGAAGCCAAGCCCAGAGAAUGACCUGCACUGGGACUAUCUGGUAUCUGCGCUCCCAAGAAUCAGAGACUCUACCCUGCUCCUCCGAGAACCAGCACCUGGAGCAGCAUUUACCCUGUUCUAUAGCAGAGACCCCGAUGCUUCAGUGAACUAAGGCAAAUAUUGCCCCCAUUUCACAAAAGGGCAAACUGAAGCACAAAAGCUAGAACUUGGAGCAUCUGGCUUCCCAGUCCCAUGUGCAUUCCCCACCCCCCAGGUUACUGGCGCAUUUCACCCAGUUCUCCCCGGGAACCCUUCGUGGGUAGAUAAAUGUGACACCUGGCUUCCCUGAGACACCAACAACCCAUCCUGGCUGAAGAAUGGCUGCUAACGUUCCUGAAACGGCUGGUCUGUGGCAUGUGCAGGAAGAGGAAAGGGCUGAUCAGCAGCCGUCUGGCAUGGCCAGCAUAAUUUACACCCCACUCCAGCAGCUGGGAGUGAGACAGCCAGAAUAAUGCCAAUAAAACUAUUAUGCUGAAACAUGA
Molecule: long non-coding RNA, 655 nt
Organism: Pelodiscus sinensis (Chinese soft-shelled turtle)
Lineage: Eukaryota; Metazoa; Chordata; Testudines; Trionychidae
Source: RefSeq, a predicted model, not a curated record